Molecule: long non-coding RNA, 9896 nt
Filed under: Gossypium barbadense (sea-island cotton)
Lineage: Eukaryota; Viridiplantae; Streptophyta; Magnoliopsida; Malvales; Malvaceae
Description: long non-coding RNA (GBAR_LNC007826)
Source: RNAcentral
UGCAAGGAAUGGGUUGUCGGAGAACAUGCUCAACGCAACACUGGUGGUAGCGGCGCUGGUCAUAACAGCAAUCUACCAGUCGUCUUUAAGCCCACCAAGAGGUCUUUGGCAAGGUGAUAACACUAUCCCCACCACCACCUCAAACCUUACUACGACUACUAAAUUUACCCUCUUUAACGACAAUUACAGUGAGUAUCGUUUUAAAUUUGUGUUGGGUGAAGAAACAAGGAAAACAGGUACAGCAGUCAUGAAUCCCAACUUGUUUUUAGGGUUUUGGUUUUUCAAUUUUAUAGCAUUUGGGCUUCCGGUUCUUCUAACCGUUUUGCUUUUAUCCAAUGUACCUAGUAUUCUUCUCAUCCCGCUGUAUUAUCUAUCCGUCUCCUACUUCAACUGCAUGACAAUAAUAUCUCCUUCCACGUUUUGGGCAAACCUCAACUUUGUUGUCAUGUGGACAGCCAUUAUUCUCCCGUUGCUCAUAGUUUUUAGAAGUGUAUGGUUAUCGAAGCGGCCAAAGUACAGGGAAAUCAGACAAUUACGCAGACUUUUCCACAAAUAGAAUAAUGUUGGAAUCACUCAAUGGUUGCGAAUGUCAAUGUAGUUUACAUGUUCUCUUAUGUUAUGUACUCUUUUUCCAUUUUCUCUGGAUUAAUAUCUUUUCUCUUGGGUAAAAAAAUUAUGUAAUUGCUUUGGAUAAAUUUAAUAAAUAAGAGUAAUUUUCCCAACAGAUAUCUUUGUCCUUUGCAACGAAAAGAAAAAACAAAGAAAAGCCAACCAUCCUAUUUUCUAAUUUUAAAAAAUAAUUUCCUGUUUCUGAAAAUAUCGAUUCUUUUUUUUUAAAGAUGUUUUCAAAAUAUUAUUCAGUCAAAGUUAAUGAAUUUCUCAACAAAUCGAUAAUGUUGUGGAAUUUGUUGCGGAAAGGAUCGAUUCGAGAACUCCGAUAUGACUACAAGUAAAUUGACCGAAACGAAAAAAUAAAGUGAACACAAGGAUUUACGUGGUUCGGCUUUAAUGCCUACGUCCACGGGCAGAGGCGAAAAGAAAUUUCACUAUAACAAGAUGAAGAUUACAAGUGUUUUACACUCAAGACACAACCCGAGAACCUCACAACUCUCAACCCCUAUAGAAAACCCGAAAGCUAAAAUCCUAGCUUUCAAAGAACAAGCUUUGCUCUCUCUUGGUUUGGGAUCAUCAAUAUGGCUAAUGAACCUCUCUAUUUAUAAGAGAGUUCAAGGACAUAAUUGUCCAAAACUUUGGCAAAGAUUUGUGGUUGAAAAUGGACACCAACAACCAUCCACUAAUCCACUACCACCAACAACCCACUACCAAUUUUAAGCCAUUUCUUAACAAAUCUCCACCUUGGCUUGAAAUUUACCAAGCUGAACAUCAUAGUGAACUGGAUCACCUCUUCCAAACGCCUCUCUGGCGCUAAUCAAUCCCGAAUACCUAUCAAGUCCAAGCAAUGCUUGAACUUAUAUGCAGGGAUCACCUUAGUUAACAUAUCUGCAGGAUUCUUCUCGGUAGCAACCUUGCUGAUAACAAUGUCACCUUGCGUAACAUGUUCCCGAACAAAAUGAUAUCUGACAUCAAUGUGUUUGGUCCGUUCAUGAAACAUCUGAUUUUUAGUCAGAUGUAUGGCACUCUGGCUAUCGCAAAAUACAACAGUGAAAUCCUGUUGUAAACCCAAACUGCUUACUAGACCUUUCAUCCACAAUGCUUCUUUCACUGCUUCUGCUAACGCCAUAUAUUCCGCCUCAGUCGUAGAUAAGGCUACGGUAGACUGUAACACAGCUUUCCAACUAAUGGCUCCUCCAGAAUAAGUGAAAACAUAACCCGUCAGAGAUCUUCUUUUGUCCAGAUCUCCAGCAUAAUCAGAGUCCGCAUAGCCCGUGACACUGCUAGUGCAGUCACUCUGAUCAUAUACCAAGCAUAAAUCUGCAGAACCUCUCAAGUACCUGAGAAUCCAUUUCACGGCCUGCCAGUGUUCCUUGCCAGGACAACUCAUGUAUCUGCUGACCACACUAACUGCAUGUGAAAUGUCUGGACGAGUGCAAACCAUUGCAUACAUCACGCUUCCAACUGCACUCGAGUAUGGAAUGUGAGACAUUUGCUGCUUUUCUUCAUCAGAUUGUGGUGACAACUCUGCAGAGAGUUUGAAAUGUGGUGCCAACGGAGUACUCACAGUUUUCGCUUUAUCCAUGCCGAAGCGUUGAAGAACCUUUUCAAUGUAGUUCUUCUGCGACACACGAAGCUUGCCCGCCUUGCGAUCUCUGUGAAUAUCCAUGCCCAAAAUUUUCUUGGCAGCACCCAGAUCCUUCAUCUCGAACUCACCACUCAACUGCGACUUUAACUUGUUGAUUUCCGACAUGUUUUUGGAAGCAAUUAACAUGUCAUCAACAUACAGCAACAAAUAAAUGUGCGAACCAUCUGAGAGCUUCCGAUGAUAGACACAAGCAUCAUAGUCACAUCUUGUGUAACCAUGCUGAAUCAUGAAGCUAUCAAACCGCUUGUACCACUGCCUUGGGGAUUGUUUCAAUCCAUAUAAAGACUUCUUUAAUAGACAGACAUGGUCUUCUUUACCAGGAACUGUAAAACCCUCUGGUUGACGCAUGUAGAUUGUUUCCUCGAGCUCACCAUGCAAGAACGCCGUUUUUACGUCAAGCUGCUCAAGUUCUAGAUCAGACUUGGCCACCAUGGCAAGUAAUACACGAAUGGAAGAAUGCUUUACGACUGGGGAGAAAACUUCAUUGUAGUCAAUCCCCUCUUUCUGAGUGAAGCCUUUAGCAACCAAUCGUGCCUUGAAUCUAGUUGCUUCAACCCCUAGGAUGCCUUCCUUUUUCUUGAAGACCCAUUUGCAACCAACUAUCUUCUGGUUACUUGGCGGCUUAACCAACUCCCAAGUAUGGUUCUUGUGAAGAGAUUCUAUCUCCUCACUCAUAGCAAUUGCCCACUGUGCCGACUCAUCACACGUGACAGCCUCAUUAUAACUGGAAGGUUCUAUACCAAUGGACUCCGCCACACUGAGCGCGAAAGACACCAGAUUAGCGUAACGCGGAUUUGGUUUGAUUUGUCUCUUCGUUCUUCCAGUGGCAAUGCUAUAUGGUUUUUCUUGAGGUGACUCAUCUUCAUCGGAAUCUUGCACCUCAACUUGAUCAUCCUGGACUGAAGUACCUUCCGUAGGAAUUGGAGCGUCCACCUGACACUCCACCUGCUUCUCAACACCGUGAUCUCCCAUUCUAUCUGACUCCUCCUUUUCCCGGGAAUUUGUGGUGGAUCGAAGCAUGGAUGACUCAUCAAAAGUCACAUCUCUGCUGAUGAUGAACUUGGACGAAACCGGAUCAGGACACCACAACCUGUAUCCUUUCACCCCUUGGCCGUAUCCAAGAAAUAUGCAUUUCUUCGCCCUCGGUUUGAGUUUUCCCUCAUUUACAUGAGCAUACGCAGGGCAGCCAAACACUCUUAAACCAGAGUAAUCAGCAGGAGAACCAGACCAUACUUCCUCAGGAGUCUUCAGCUCAAUAGCUGUUGACGGAGAUCUGUUAACCAAAUAACAAGCAGUAUUAACAGCUUCAGCCCAAAAUUCUUCACCGAGCCCAGCAUUUGAUCGCAUGCAACGAGCUCGCUCCAAGAGAGUUCUAUUCAUGCGUUCUGCAACUCCAUUUUGUUGUGGUGUUCGACGAACAGUGCGGUGUCUCACUAUUCCUUCAUUUUUGCAGAACUCAUUGAAUUCACCUGAGCAAAACUCCAAGCCAUUAUCCGUCCGGAAUCGCUUGAUCUUCUUUCCUGUUUGAUUUUCGAUCAAAGCUUUAAAUUGCUUGAAGUUGAUGAGAACCUCAUACUUGCUCUUCAGAAAAUACACCCAAACCUUUCUCGAGUAAUCAUCGAUAAAGGUAAGCAGAUAUCUGUAACCACCUUUAGAAAUUGUCGGAGAAGGCCCCCAAAGGUCAGAAUGGAAGUAAUCCACUGUGCCUUUUGUCUUGUGAAUCCCAGUGCUGAACUUUACCCGAGUCUGCUUACCGAAGACGCAGUGCUCACAGAAAUUCAACUUUCCUGUACACUGCCCAGACAAUAAUCCUCGUUUGCUUAGCACCGAUAAGCCUCUCUCGCUCAUAUGCCCGAGCCGCAUAUGCCAUAACUUCGUGGUGUCAGAAUCUAGAUCAUCUGAUGAUGACACUCCCGCAACACCUGUAACCGAGGAACCAUCGAGGAAGUAAAGGCCCCGCUCCAAAUUACCACGUAUCACAGUCAAAGCACCCGAGAAUACCUUGAGAACUCCACCUUCAGCAGAGUACCGAAAGCCUUUCUUGUCCAACGUACUCAAAGAGAUCAAAUUUUUCUUCAUUUCUGGAAUGUGCCGAACAUCAGUUAGAGUUCUAACAAUACCGUCAAACAUCUUUAUACGAACUGUGCCAAUCCCCAUGACUUGACAUGCGUGGUCAUUUCCCAUUAGUACUGAACCAGAAUGCUUCUCGUAUGUUGAGAAUGCAUCUUUCGAAGUACUUAUAUGAAAUGUAGCUCCCGUAUCAAGAAUCCAUCUCCCACCAGCGUAAGAGUCGGAUACUGCAAGAACGAUCUCGGCAUCACUUGAAGAAUCUGCAUCAGCUACAUUCGCACGAUCAUUUUGUUGCUCCUGUGAUUCUGAUUUCUCCUUCCUUUUCGGACAAUCUACCUUCAUGUGCCCGUACUUCUUACAGUAGUAGCACUGUAUUCUCUUCUUGGACUGCGAUCUAGGAUGGCUUUUACUUGAACUUCCACCCUUUGCCUUGGAUCUUCCUCGAGCAACCAAGCCUUCGCCUUCAUUGUUUUCGACCACCUUACCAGUGAUUUUCUUCCUCAACUCACUGGAACUUAAGGCAUUUUUCACCUCCUCUAGAGUCAGGUCAUCACGACCGUACAUCAUUGUAUCAACAAAAUUCUCAUACGAGGGAGGCAAAGAACACAAAACAAUUAUUGCUUGGUCCUCAUCAUCGAUUUUGUUAUCGAUAUUAUUCAAAUCCAUGAUAAUGGAAUUGAAUUUAUCCAGGUGCUGGGAAACAGGUGUACCUUCCUCCAUCUUCAGGGCAUAGAGUCUUUGCUUGAGGUAGAGCCGGUUCGUCAAUGACUUCGUCAUGUACUUGCUCUCUAACCGGAGCCACAAACCGGACGCGGUUUUCUCAUCCGCUACUUCUCGUAGCACUUCAUCUCCUAGACAUAGCAGAAUAGCACUAUGUGCUCUUUCUAGCAUGUCAUCCUUUUGCUCUUCCGAAAGCGUGCUUGGUAAUUUAUCUUUACCAGACAAUGCUUUUAGCAAUCCUUGUUGAACCAGCACUGCCCGCAUCUUGAUGCGCCAUAAACUGAAACUAUUUUUCCCGGUAAAUUUCUCGACAUCAUACUUAGUCGAUGAAACACUUGUAGCCAUAAUUUGGAACCUUUGAAUGAAUGAUAAUAUUUUCUUCCUGAUGUGAAAGAUCAGACAAAGCUGCAGUCACAGGGCAAUUCAGAAAAUAUUAUCACUCCUUCAACUACGCUCUGAUACCAAUUUGUUGCGGAAAGGAUCGAUUCGAGAACUCCGAUAUGACUACAAGUAAAUUGACCGAAACGAAAAAAUAAAGUGAACACAAGGAUUUACGUGGUUCGGCUUUAAUGCCUACGUCCACGGGCAGAGGCGAAAAGAAAUUUCACUAUAACAAGAUGAAGAUUACAAGUGUUUUACACUCAAGACACAACCCGAGAACCUCACAACUCUCAACCCCUAUAGAAAACCCGAAAGCUAAAAUCCUAGCUUUCAAAGAACAAGCUUUGCUCUCUCUUGGUUUGGGAUCAUCAAUAUGGCUAAUGAACCUCUCUAUUUAUAAGAGAGUUCAAGGACAUAAUUGUCCAAAACUUUGGCAAAGAUUUGUGGUUGAAAAUGGACACCAACAACCAUCCACUAAUCCACUACCACCAACAACCCACUACCAAUUUUAAGCCAUUUCUUAACAGAAUUAAAUCUGAAUAUUACAUAAAAAGAUGACAAUACAUUUUUUCGAUUUAAUAUUCAAGCCAAAUAACAUGCAACUUUGAUAGAGAUAAUGAACAGUAAACCUCAUAAGGGUUCUAAGAAGUCCUUUUAUGCUUGCCUUUCCAGACUACACCGCUUUGGAGCCCAAUAUGGCUCAUUCUCUUUGUCUGCAUAGUCAGCUUUUGUGCUUGCUUGAGUUUUGCGGUUUCAGGUCCUUUUCACUUCUACAAGCAUUAAGAUUGUCUACACUAGAUCACAUUCAUGUAAUUUGGGCUCACAAUGAACCUGGUUUUGUCUGGACUCAUUGCUAUGUGUUUAAGUUAGACUUGGACCUUUCAUUUUUUUUUAUAUGAAAAUUGAUUGCUCGGGAAUUUUGUUAAACCAAACUAUGUCAAUUUUACCUUAAAAAAAACAUGUUAAUUUUGUACACGUCCUUGUACUAUUAUAGUAUGAAAUAUAUUUUUCUUUCAAAUGAGAAAACAAGUAAUAUGAAUUUUUUUUUUGUAAUAAUUGAAUUAAACUGUUAAAUGCGACGGUUCAAAUUAAGCAACAAUGAGUUAGGUAAACUUGUCAUUAUUUAAAUUAAUAUCUAUCAUUUAAUUAAGCCCCCUUAUAAAAUUAUUUUCCUUUACAAUUCUUAUGAAAUCAAAAAAAAAAAAAUUUUUGCAGGACUGAGAUAAAAUUAUAAAAUUUUAGGAAGAUCAAUGUUAUUUUUUUUUGCUUAAAUUAAAUUAUUAAAUUUUUAGAACGGCGAAAAAUUAAAAAUUUUCCAUUAAUCAAAAAGGUUUUAAAAAAAAACUUAAAUGAAAUAAUUGGUCCUUGUAGUCUCAAUUUCUAAGGACCUUUGGGCUGAAUUUAAGAGUACAAGAACCAAAAUGCACUCCUCUCAAUUGAAUAUUAUAAUUGGUUUGAUUUAUUAUUUUUGGUGCAAACAAUCAACACUCAAACAGUCAAUACCGUCCGAUAGAUCACGUGGAAAACCAUCCUAACAUAUGAGAAUAUAUCCAGAAGAAGAAACUUAUCCAAAUCCAACCCACCACAAGUUGUCAACCAGCUCAUCCCAUUGGCCUUUCCACACCUUCGAACUGAUUGGUGCAAUCCGAGCUGGUCCUAUUAUUGGAAAGAGAAUAGAAUCUUAACCGUGGGACCACACUUAAGCCGGCGUCCUAAAUGAUUAGACGCGUGAAAAAACGGUGGGUAUUCUUUCACCCAAUACCAUCACUACAAAUACACAAACCAUGUCUACCCAUACUCUGGGCUAUUUGUGAUAAAACAGGAAAACAAUGAAAAAUAAUAAUAUAAAGAAGAGAAAACAUUCAAAUCUCGUUAAAUUCAUGAACAAAAUUGGUUGUGGGGUUCUCAAUGUUGCUAAGUAAAGACGGAGUUUUUAAUAUUGAUGCGAGAGCUAUUUUAGAAGGGUUAUGUUAGAGAUUGAGAGUAAUAACACUCUUUUGAUGGGAUGAUUGUAGAGGGAGGAGCAGCUAAUAGUUAGUUAAUAGAAUUACAUUCUAUUCAUCGAAUGAUGCGUCGAGAUUGGAAGAUUUGUUUUCGUCAUAUCCCAAGAACUCACAAUACAAUUGCUGAUCAUAUUACUAAGGUUAUGACGAUAAAAUUCACUGAAGUCUUAUUUUGUACAACAUUUAAUAUAAACAGAUUACAUUAGUAUUACAUAGGCUAAUACGUUAUCUUAAUAGUAUCGCGUACAGCUAUUUUAAUUUACCAAAUAAUAAUAAUAAUGGAGCCCAUGCUUUUUGAAUCUUUUCUAUGUCACAGCUAUGGAGAUGGGUCAAGACACAACUAUCCUUUUUUUAGGUCAAAUAAAUCUCAAUUAGUUUUUUAAGCCCUCUGUAUAUAUAUAUUUAUCUAAUAAAAUUUUCCACGUUUCAUAAUGAUCGAAGAAGUGUAAAGCAAAAGUUUAUAAAAAGUUUAUAAUUAAAAAAUAUUCCAUAUCUUCGAGUAUUUAACUGAAAAGUUGAUAUGUUUAUAAAAAUUUAUUUUAUGAUCAAUAUAUAUCAAGAAAAAAAUUUUAAUUUCAAAAAAAUAUUGAUUAAAAAUAUCCACCAAAAUGAUAAGAAUGUACAUAAUUCAAAAUUUUAAACAUCUUAUUUUUAAACUGAUAUUCCUAAGUAAAUUAUAUAUCUUAAAAUAUGUUUUUAAUACUGAUAUUUCUUAAUAAAUUUGUUUCUAAAUUAAAUAUUAUUUUUCUAAAAUUAUCUUAAAAUUUUUGAUACGUGAAAAAAGUUCGACAAAAUAUAGUAAAAUAUUAAAAAAUAAAUAUUAAAAAAAACACAUACCAAUACACAAAAUAUAUUUUAUAACAUGUUAUUUAAAAUAAAUAUUUUAUUUUCUAAAAGUAUUUUUUUUGCCACAAUACUAAAAAUAUAAAUUUUAGAGUAAAAUAUUUGAAAGCUAAGCUGGUCAACUUGCCUUGAAACAAGUGGGGAAAAUGCGUCCAAAUUAUAUUGAAGUGAGAAACAGGGAGUGGGUUUCAAGAUUUUGAAGUCUAUGAUUGGCGGCCAUCGAUUUAUAUCCCUCGUCAAAUCUAUAUUUUAAAAAUGAUUAAAAAUAUUCGAUAUUUAUAUUCAAUAUAAAUCUACCCUUGACGGAGCUUGUUUUAAAUCAGUUGAGGUUUCAAAUAAGGAUAGUCAUUUUGCAACUCUCCUAAUUUCUUCAUCAUUUAAAGAAAGAAACAAAAGCAUGGAUCCAAGCUUGAGAGAAGUAGCUGGAACAGGAGAUACUAAUGCCUUGUACGCUCUAAUUCGAAAGGAUCCGUACAUGUUGGAGCGUAUUGAUCAGAUUCCUUUCAUCGAUACUCCACUUCACAUAGCAGCAAAUGAAGGCCAAAUUAAGUUUGCAAUGGAGAUGAUAAACUUGAAGCCUUCGUUUGGUCGGAAGCUAGACCAAGACGGCUUUAGCCCCAUGCAUUUGGCCUUCAAAAUGGGGCAUACCAAGCUAGUGCUUCGACUGUUGAAGACCGAUAAAGACCUGGUUCGCGUCAGAGGAAGGGAAGGGAUGACCCCUUUCCAUUGUGCAGCUGCAGUGGGGAACUCUAAUCUUUUAUUCCAGUUCCUUGAAACUUGCCCUGAAUGUGUUGAGGAUGUCACGGUUCGUAACGAGACUGCAUUACAUCUUGCUCUGAAAAACAACCACACCGACGCUUUUAAUCUCUUACAUGGAUGGCUUCGAAAGAACCGUCGUGGAGGAGGCAAGGAUUUGGAAAGAAAGGUUGUGAAUUGGAGAGAUGAUGAUGACAACACUGUGUUGCACAUUGCAGCUACAAAGCAACAGCAUCAGGUAUAUAUGCAAUAUAAUGAUAAGUUGCGUUCCUUUGAUCAUUUUAUUAAUGACUAUUUAUAAUAUUCUACGCAGGCAGUACAACUGUUGUUGGAUUCCUUUUAUGGGUUAGAUGCAAACGCUAAGAACUCGGAAGGCUUGACAGCUCGAGAAAUCAUAGAAAGGGUUGAAAGACAGGGGUUGAACAUGAGUGGCGCCGAAGACGAUGAUACCACCACCGCCAAGAUUGAGCGCAUUAAGAAAAGAACCAGUAGGUCUGAAAGAGCAUUAAUAAAGUUGAUUCGUGCAAGGAAUGGGUUGUCGGAGAACAUGCUCAACGCAACACUGGUGGUAGCGGCGCUGGUCAUAACAGCAAUCUACCAGUCAUCUUUAAGCCCACCAAGAGGUCUUUGGCAAGGUGAUAACACUAUCCCCACCAACACCACAAACCUUACUACGACUACUAAAUUUACACUCUUUCACGACAAUUACAGUGAGUAUCGUACUAGAGUUGUGUUCGGUGAACAAACAAAGGAAACUGGUACAGCAGUCAUGAAUCCCAACUUGUUUUUAGCGUUUUGGUUUUUCAAUUUUAUAGCAUUUGGGCUUCCAAUUCUUCUAACCGUUUUGCUUUUAUCCAAUGUAC